GCCUGGCUGGCUCAGUUGGUAGAGCAUGUGACUCUUGAUCUCAAGAUUAUGGGUUGGAGCCCCACGCUGGGUA
Suricata suricatta (meerkat) is the source of this 73-nucleotide non-coding RNA. The record is from the annotation of a RefSeq genome assembly. NCBI's taxonomy places the organism in Eukaryota, Metazoa, Chordata, Mammalia, Carnivora, Herpestidae.